Hemibagrus wyckioides is the source of this 2849-nucleotide long non-coding RNA. RefSeq lists it as uncharacterized. Lineage: Eukaryota; Metazoa; Chordata; Actinopteri; Siluriformes; Bagridae. The transcript has 3 exons. The record is from RefSeq and is a predicted model, not a curated record.
CUGUUAAGUUUAUAUCUAUGCUUUUUCUCGGCCACGGGAAAGAAGCUGUGUUUUUUAUUUAAUAAUUUCAUGAGAGAGAGAGAGAGAGAGAGACAGAGAGAGAGAGAGAAAAGAAAGCCAGGCUGAUGAGUGAAGACUGCUUAUAGCUGCUUUAAUGUAAAUGAGAGCAGGGACUUACUUCCUGAAAAUGAAAUGUGAAUAUAAAGAGAUAAAAUGAAGGACAUGUUUAUCGCAGUGGUCAAUCUUUAUCAUGCAGGAAAAAUAAUUUGCUGUUGGAUGCACUGUUAUAGGAAAAUAAUCAAGCUUCAGAGUGGCAGCACAACCCAGUGGCUGAUUAUUUUUCAUCACUAUUAGGGAGGCCUCAUUUUAGAGGCUCGUGUCUAGGUCUCGGUUAAUGCUUGGUCAUGGUUUUAAAGGAAGCAACCUCUCUGAUGUGGACGAGAUCCAACAGAGCCGUUACACAGGUGCGCAGAGAAUCAACAGAGAAAUCUACGCUUCAUGUCCAUGACCAAACAAACCGGCGUGUUUGUGACAUUAGAAGGUUCACGCGAGCAAACACGGGCCAUGUGGUCAACCACUAAGCCUUUUAAAGAAGCCCUGAGAUCAGCAGGACUACAGCAUACAGUAUAACCCGAGCAAAAUGGAGCGUACCGCACAGACAAACACCGUGAAUCAGUAAAUGAUUGUGAGUUAUUUAUGAAUGUAAAAUAUUGCAAAAUAGUGGAUUGGGAAAUAACCGGCAUUAAAACACAACGCUGGUCUGGGAAUGUGCAAACAAAUACCUAUCCAGCACUUGUAUUUAAGUGCUCAGCAAGAGUGACUGAUUUUCUGCCACUUUAAUGAUGUGUGAUUAAAUUAAAUCCAAACAUCGCCUCUGGGCGUCUAGUUCAGACUACCAAAAUUUGUUUUGGGGAAUAGAAAUUAAAUCAUUCGAGUUCACACAAUUACAUGUUACUAACUGUGUUGCUGAGGCUGAGGCUUUAGUUACUUAGCACAUAGUCUUUUACAUUUACGAAAAAUAUCGGCGAGAAAGCAAGGGGAAGGUGUACCAGACAGUGGUGAGACCGGCCAUGCUGUAUGGUUUAGAGGCAGUGUCACUGAGGAAGAGACAAGAGUCAGAGCUGGAGGUAGGAUAGGAUUAGGAACGAGUACAUCAGAAGGACAGCUCAUGUUGGAUGUUUGGGGGGACAAAGUUAGGGAGGCCAGAUUAAGAUGGUCUGGACAUGUUCAUAGGAGGGAGAGUGAGGAGAAUGUUGGACAUGGAGCUGCCAGGCAGGAGGAAGGCCAUAGAGGAGGUAUAUGGAUGUAAUAAAUGAGGAUAUGAAGCUAAAGGUGCAAGAGUUGAGGAUGCAGAAGAUAGGGAUAGGUGGAGAGAGAUAAUUUGCUGUGGCGACUCCUGAAGGGAAAAGCCGAAAGAAGAAGAAGAUCAGGUUUUCCUCAGAUAUUUGGUGAACAAAGGAUUAAUAAACUGAAUAAACAAGAUGUUUAUUAUUUUAUUCAUAUUCAGUAACCAAAAAAGGGAAAAAAGUAACUAGUGUAUGAUUUAAUGAGUUACGUCAGUGCUGAAUUAGUUGGUACCAAAACCCUGUAGUACCAGGUGUGACCACUAGAGCCCGCUAUAAACAGCUCUCUCUCUCCUUAUACAUAUUUAACUAUAGUUUACUUAAGUACGUAAAAUUAACGCAACACAUUUCGCUUUAAAAUGGAUUCAUGUGUGUUUCUAAGAAACAUGUCUCAUUUCCACAAACACUGUCCUUAUUCAUCCUGUAUAAAAGGUCCAGCAGUUGUGUGCUAGGUAGCUAAAGCGGCUAGCUUGUUGCCUAGCAACACUGUUCUCACAGUAUAGUCAUAAUUUUACGAAUCUUACAAGAUCAUGUUCUUUGUAUUAUCAGUUAUGUUGUUAUGGUAUGAUGUUCCACGACAUGUAUAAUUAAUAUUACUAAAAAAAACAACUAAAAAAAGGGAUUAUCUAGUGUUAAGGUGGACUCGUCUAGCUAGAGCCCUGUUGCUAGGCAACUGGAAAAUUAAUGGCAUAUAGGAUAAGCUUGCUAACCAUUUAGCUUAUAAUUUAUUUUAUAAUUCAUAAAGACAGUAGAUAUCAGUCAGAAUUGUCAGGGACAGCAACAUUUCCGUCAGACUUGUUUGAAAUCCUUAAACUAAAAUUAUACUGUAAUUACACUUAGCACCGUUUACUAAGAAAUGUCAAUAUUGAUUCACAACUCGUGAACUCGAAUUGAAUCGAACCGAAUCUUCUUAAUGAAUCACUCGAGUCGGUUCAUGAUUCAAUUUCAAUCAAAAUUUGGGUUGCAGCUACGUGCUGUAUUUAGUUUUAUGAACUCGGUACAGUUAUGGAAAAUAUUUAAAAGUAAGAAACACUGCAAAAAUAAUGGUAUGAUGUUCCUCGACAUGCAUAAUUUAUAACACUAAAAAACAACUACAAAAAAGGAAAGGUUGUUAAGGUUGACUCAUCUAGCGAGAACCCUGUUGCUAGGCAACUGGAAAAUUAUGGGCGCAUAGGAUAAGCUUGCUAGCAAUUUAGCUAGCUUUCGCGUACAAUAAAAUGGUUAUUCAACAACUGAUAAAGACAGUAGAUAUCAGCCAGAAUCAGCAGAAUUUCCCUCGGACAUGUUUGAAAUCCAUCUAAAAUUAUACUGUAAUUACACUUAGCAUCGAUUAUUAAGAAAUGUCAAUAAUGAUUCAAAGCUCGUGAACUCGAAUCGAACCGACUCUUCUUAAUGAAUCACUCGACCCGGUUCAUGAUUCCAUUUGGGUUGCAUGUACGAGUUGUUUUUGUUUUAUGAACUCCGGUACAGUUCUAACAAUUUAUAAAAGUAAGACACACUGCAAAA